RNAcentral lists this ribosomal RNA (429 nucleotides) under Bacillota bacterium. RNAcentral describes it as "Firmicutes bacterium partial 16S ribosomal RNA". It matches the Rfam family "Bacterial small subunit ribosomal RNA", at positions 355 to 776 of the family's 1533-position model. The record is from RNAcentral. Lineage: Bacteria; Bacillati; Bacillota.
UGGGGAAUUUUGGACAAUGGGCGAAAGCCUGAUCCAGCAAUGCCGCGUGUGUGAAGAAGGCCUUCGGGUUGUGAAGCACUUUUGUCCGGAAAGAAAUGGCUCUGGUUAAUACCUGGGGUCGAUGACGGUACCGGAAGAAUAAGGACCGGCUAACUACGUGCCAGCAGCCGCGGUAAUACGUAGGGUCCAAGCGUUAAUCGGAAUUACUGGGCGUAAAGCGUGCGCAGGCGGUUGUGCAAGACCGAUGUGAAAUCCCCGAGCUUAACUUGGGAAUUGCAUUGGUGACUGCACGGCUAGAGUGUGUCAGAGGGGGGUAGAAUUCCACGUGUAGCAGUGAAAUGCGUAGAGAUGUGGAGGAAUACCGAUGGCGAAGGCAGCCCCCUGGGAUAACACUGACGCUCAUGCACGAAAGCGUGGGGAGCAAACAGG